GCCUCUGAGCGGGUCGGUCUCUGGGCGGUUCCCCGUGAGCAGCAGGCCACGUGGUCCCCGGCCGGGCGGCCCCUUCCGGACGGGCGUCUCUGUUUUGCAGGAAAAUUCUCCUUUCCUGGGGUAUUGCUGCCUGUCCCCACCCUGGAGGGGACAGGAAAGUGGACAGAAAGGAACAGGCGUCGGGACCUGCAGGCCUCCCGGGCUCAGCCAGACGUCACCACGGAUCCCGUGGAGGAGACAGCAUCCGUGUUUCCUCAGAGGGACCCGCCAGCUGACACAUGGCUGAGGGAUGUAGAUGCCUGAGCCAUUUCCUCAAGGCAGCGGGCAGCGGCCAGGCCCCCAAGGACCAGCUACGGGGUCAGGGGAGCUGCGGGACCCCCUCCUGGAGGCCAGCCCUCACCUGGCUGAGGAGGACACCACCUGCUGUGCCGGGGGCUUGGGACCACCCGCGUCUCCCCACCGGGCUCCUGAGGUGCCUGACCUCCCCCUCCUGACCCAGCAUGUGAGGCCCUGGCCCAGGGCGCUCCUGCCCCUACCCACCGCCCGGGCCCUGAGCUCAGCUGCAGGACGGCCCUCAGCCUCCUCCUGGGCUGGGACUGGGACGGGGUCAUGUCUGCGCAUCACAUGACUCACAGUCUGGGAAUCGAUUUCCAACUGGCAA
This is a long non-coding RNA of Myotis brandtii (Brandt's bat), 661 nucleotides long. RefSeq lists it as uncharacterized. The transcript is spliced from 2 exons. The record is from RefSeq and is a predicted model, not a curated record. NCBI's taxonomy places the organism in Eukaryota, Metazoa, Chordata, Mammalia, Chiroptera, Vespertilionidae.